This 408-nucleotide ribosomal RNA is filed under the name Triticum aestivum (bread wheat). RNAcentral describes it as "partial small subunit ribosomal RNA". The record is from RNAcentral. Lineage: Eukaryota; Viridiplantae; Streptophyta; Magnoliopsida; Poales; Poaceae.
AUGAGCUCAGGUCAACACCCGCAGACUGACGGGCAAACCGAGCGUGUCAACCAGCAGGUGGAAGGGUAUCUCUGCUGUUUCAUCAGUGCCCACCCAAAUCGUUGGUCCAGUUGGCCGCCUCUUUGUGAACUCUGGUAUAAUACAAACUGGCACUCAUCGACGGGUCGUACUCCUUUCGAGCUGGUAUACGGGCAUGCUCCUCGUUACUUUGGUAUUUUUCCAGUGGAUGCUAUUGGAAAUUCUGAUGUCCAACAAUGGUUGAAUGAGCGACAUGUUGCCAUGGAAUCAGUCAAGCAACAUUCUCUACGGGCACCACAACAAAUGAAGGCUCAAGCCGACAAGCACAGGACAGAGAGAUCCUUCGAAGUGGGGGAGACAGUUUUUCUGAAGAUGCAACCUUAUAUUUAG